This 259-nucleotide ribosomal RNA is filed under the name uncultured prokaryote. Its description in RNAcentral is "partial 16S ribosomal RNA". It matches the Rfam family "Bacterial small subunit ribosomal RNA", at positions 524 to 782 of the family's 1533-position model. The record is from RNAcentral.
UACGUAGGGGGCAAGCGUUGUCCGGAAUCACUGGGCGUAAAGCGCAUGUAGGCGGGAUAUUAAGUCAGGUGUGAAAACUAUGGGCUCAACCUGUAGAUUGCAUCUGAAACUGAUAUUCUUGAGUAUUGGAGAGGAAAGUGGAAUUCCUAGUGUAGCGGUGAAAUGCGUAGAUAUUAGGAGGAACACCAGUGGCGAAGGCGACUUUCUGGCCAAAACUGACGCUGAGAUGCGAAAGCGUGGGGAGGCAAACAGGAUUAGA